This 235-nucleotide ribosomal RNA is filed under the name uncultured bacterium. Its description in RNAcentral is "partial 16S ribosomal RNA". It matches the Rfam family "Bacterial small subunit ribosomal RNA", at positions 96 to 334 of the family's 1533-position model. The record is from RNAcentral.
UGGUGGACGGGUGAGUAAUGUCUGGGAAACUGCCCGAUGGAGGGGGAUAACUACUGGAAACGGUAGCUAAUACCGCAUAACGUCGCAAGACCAAAGAGGGGGACCUUCGGGCCUCUUGCCAUCGGAUGUGCCCAGAUGGGAUUAGCUAGUAGGUGGGGUAACGGCUCACCUAGGCGACGAUCCCUAGCUGGUCUGAGAGGAUGACCAGCCACACUGGAACUGAGACACGGUCCAG